Molecule: long non-coding RNA, 2035 nt
Organism: Myxocyprinus asiaticus (Chinese sucker)
Lineage: Eukaryota; Metazoa; Chordata; Actinopteri; Cypriniformes; Catostomidae
Exons: 3
Source: RefSeq, a predicted model, not a curated record
GAACAAUGUGCGGGUCGCGAGCCUCUCCCACCGCCUGGUCACCAGCAUCAGAGAAAUCGAGCAUCAAUGUUCAACCCACGCAGAUGGAUGAAAUGAUGAAGCGUUACGUCGAAUCUCAGGUCCUACUGGCCCAACGACACCACAGUGACUGCUCGAAUUUCUGCCUGCCUGGCGGACAUCUCGGCCUGGAUGAAGGAGCACCACCUGCAACUCAACCCAGCCAAGACUGAACUCCUUGUCUUUCCAGCCAAUCCUGCUGUUGAACACAACAUCACCGUGCAGCUGGGUGCAACUACAGUAACGCCUUCCAAAUCGGUCAGAAAUCUAGGGGUAACCAUCGACAACAGACUAAAUUUCACAGACCACAUCUCAAAGUCCUUAAGAUCAUGUAGAUUUACACUUUACAAUAUCAGGAAGAUAAGACCCUUCCUCUCUGAACAUGCCACACAACUGUUUGUCCAGUCACUUGUCAUAACUAGGCUGGACUACUGUAACGCUCUCAUUGCAGGUCUCCCUGCAUGUGCAAUUAGACCCCUCCAAAUGAUCCAGAAUGCAGCAGCACGUCUGGUCUUUAAUGAACCAAAGAGAGCACAUGUUACACCACUCCUUGUCUCUCUCCACUGGCUGCCGGUUGAUGCACGUAUCAAAUUCAAGGCUCUGAUGCUGGCAUACAGAACAGUCACUGGGUCUGCUCCAGCAUACCUAAAAUAAUUUAUGCAGAGCUACGCGCCCACUAGAAGCCUGCGGUCGGCUAAGGAACGUCGCCUUGUUGUACCAACACAAAGAGGCACCAAAACACUUUCCCGGACUUUCAGCUUCAUCAUACCACGUUGGUGGAACGACCUUCCCAACUCCAUCCGUGAAGCUGACUCACUCUCUGUCUUCAAAAAACGACUAAAAACACAUCUUCUGUUGCACUUUAUUCUGUUUUGAAUACUAUUAUGAUGCUAGUGAUACUUUGUAAUACAGCACUUUUCAUACCACUGUCUCCUAAGAUGAUUCGCUUAUGUUUUCCUCUUUUGUAAGUCGCUUUGGAUAAAAGCGUCUGCCAAAUGAAUAAAUGUAAAUGUAAAUGUAUUCUCUCACUAACAUGUAUUCAUUUGUGGUAAAUGUGUAAUUACGACACAUGCUCUCUGUUGCUGAUGCCGAAAAACGAAUUCAUGCGUUCAUGACCUCAAGACUAGAUUAUUUUAAUGCAUUACUGGGAGGAUGUCCAGCAAGAUCAAUAAAUAAACUUCAAUUGGUUCAAAAUGCAGCAGCCAGAGUGCUGACUAGAACCAAGAAAUAUGAUCAUAUUAGCCCCAUUUUAUCAUCAUUACAUUGGCUACCUGUUAAGUUUCGUAUUAAUUUUAAAAUUCUUUUAACUACGUACAAAGCUUUGAAUGGUCUAGCUUCGCAGUGCUUAAGUGACCUUCUACCACGCUAUAUUCAUCACGUUCAUUACGAUCACAAAAUUGUGGCCUGUUAAUAGUUCCUAGAAUAUCAAAAUCCACAAAAGGAGGUAUAUACUUCCCAUAUUUGGCUCCUAAACUAUGGAAUAGUCUCUCUAACACUGUUCGAGAUGCAGACACACUCACUCAGUUUAAGUCUAGACUAAACACUCAUCUAUUUAGCCAGGCAUACACCUAAUUUAUCCUUCAACUCACAAUUAGGCUGCUUUAGUUAGGUCUGCCGGAACCAGAAACCAGAAACAUUGAUUGUGAUCUAUAACUCUGCAAUAAAUUGAAUGGCAUUUAUGCUAAUAUUAUUCUAUUUGUUUCCCUGUCUCAACCUCGGGACUCCUAUCCUGAGGUCGCCAGAACCAGCUGGAUCCAGCUCCAUUCCUGCUUCGUGUUGGACUCCACUGCUAUGUGUCGCACAGUGAGCCUGGUUUUUCCCAAGGAAAGUGAAUGAAGACAGGAAACGACAGGAGAAGAGGGGGAACAGUGUCACUGAGCCGAGACUUGAACUUGGUUCACCUGUGGCGGUAUCACACCAUAUGUCGAAGCCUACAAGAUUAUUACAAAGAUACUUCACCUUGUUCUAAGACCUGCCA